Molecule: unclassified non-coding RNA, 144 nt
Filed under: uncultured Rhizoscyphus
Lineage: Eukaryota; Fungi; Ascomycota; Leotiomycetes; Helotiales; Helotiaceae
Description: sequence contains ITS2
Source: RNAcentral
AAACCAAUCCAGCUUGCUGGGUCUUGGGCCUUUCGCCUCUGGGCGGGCCCCAAAAUCAGUGGCGGUGCUAUCUAGCUCUAAGCGUAGUAAUUUUCUCGCUAUGGACACUAGGUGGUUACCUGCCAAUAACCCUUAUUUUUCAAA